RNAcentral lists this long non-coding RNA (436 nucleotides) under Anser cygnoides (Swan goose). RNAcentral's name for it is "lncRNA (ENSACDG00005008381.1)". The record is from RNAcentral. Lineage: Eukaryota; Metazoa; Chordata; Aves; Anseriformes; Anatidae.
UCAUUAAGCACACGUGAAGAAUCUUUCUCAGGACACGACGGUCCUUAAAUACUUUGAGCUGGAAGAAAUGCAUAUUGUUUUGCCACUUCAACAAUAUGAUACUGAUGUACUUGUUUAUAAGAAUGCAAGCAUAUUUGAGCAUAUUGGAAUCCUGAGUGGAAUGAAACUGCUUUUAUUAGCUCCCCUAACAAUGCAAAUCCUGGAUCGGGACGACUGACAGCCUCUCACCUUGAAAGACACUGAAACGUGACAGAGCAUGAGUCACUUGCAGUACUGUGAAACAUGGGUGGCGGAGGUAAGACCAGCCCAGACUCUGAGCACAGUCCCAGCAGCCAGGCAUAUUGUGAUUAAAGCCCUGGAGUGAUUUACUGCAAUCAGAGAAAGGAAGAGAAGUAUAUUUGAUUCUCUUUAAAUAAAUUGUUUUUCCAGUUGAGCA